This 550-nucleotide ribosomal RNA is filed under the name uncultured bacterium. RNAcentral describes it as "bacterial SSU rRNA". It matches the Rfam family "Bacterial small subunit ribosomal RNA", at positions 355 to 896 of the family's 1533-position model. The record is from RNAcentral.
UAGGGAAUCUUCGGCAAUGGACGGAAGUCUGACCGAGCAACGCCGCGUGAGUGAAGAAGGUUUUCGGGUCGUAAAGCUCUGUUGUUAGAGAAGAAUGAUGGUGGGAGUGGAAAAUCCACCAUGUGACGGUAACUAACCAGAAAGGGACGGCUAACUACGUGCCAGCAGCCGCGGUAAUACGUAGGUCCCGAGCGUUGUCCGGAUUUAUUGGGCGUAAAGCGAGCGCAGGCGGUUCUUUAAGUCUGAAGUUAAAGGCAGUGGCUCAACCAUUGUACGCUUUGGAAACUGGAGAACUUGAGUGCAGAAGGGGAGAGUGGAAUUCCAUGUGUAGCGGUGAAAUGCGUAGAUAUAUGGAGGAACACCGGUGGCGAAAGCGGCUCUCUGGUCUGUAACUGACGCUGAGGCUCGAAAGCGUGGGGAGCAAACAGGAUUAGAUACCCUGGUAGUCCACGCCGUAAACGAUGAGUGCUAGGUGUUAGGCCCUUUCCGGGGCUUAGUGCCGGAGCUAACGCAUUAAGCACUCCGCCUGGGGAGUACGACCNCAAGGUUG